AGCGAACGCUGGCGGCAGGCCUAACACAUGCAAGUCGAAUGGAUCCUUCGGGAUUAGUGGCGGACGGGUGAGUAACACGUGGGAACGUGCCCUUUGGUUCGGAACAACUCAGGGAAACUUGAGCUAAUACCGGAUGUGCCCUUCGGGGGAAAGAUUUAUCGCCAUUGGAGCGGCCCGCGUCUGAUUAGCUAGUUGGUGAGGUAACGGCCCACCAAGGCGACGAUCAGUAGCUGGUCUGAGAGGAUGAUCAGCCACACUGGGACUGAGACACGGCCCAGACUCCUACGGGAGGCAGCAGUGGGGAAUCUUGCGCAAUGGGCGAAAGCCUGACGCAGCCAUGCCGCGUGAAUGAUGAAGGUCUUAGGAUUGUAAAAUUCUUUCAGCGGGGACGAUAAUGACGGUACCCGCAGAAGAAGCGCCGGCUAACUUCGUG
RNAcentral lists this ribosomal RNA (433 nucleotides) under uncultured bacterium. Its description in RNAcentral is "partial 16S ribosomal RNA". It matches the Rfam family "Bacterial small subunit ribosomal RNA", at positions 29 to 507 of the family's 1533-position model. The record is from RNAcentral.